UCAGAAACUUUCAAAGCUGUACAGCGUUUGGAAUGAAAGGGCGGUGUUUGGCUGUAACUCAAAUCUAGGAGCAGGGAGAAUACAUACCCUCUGCUAGCUCUUAUUCAGCCCGUCCCGAUGAAUAGGUUUGUGACUGACGCCUGAACAGGAAGAGGAGAAACAGUGUAGGAGCAUCUCUGUGUCCCAAUCACCAUGAAGCUGUACAGACUGACACUCCUCCUGACACUCGUGCGGGCUGAUAUAGAUGUACCAGUGCCUGCUUCAUAUAUUCUGAAGUGUUCCCAGUUCCCAACACACGAACAUUGCAAUGAGGAUUCUGAAUUUAUUUGUGGCACAGAUGGACAGGAUUAUGGAAAUGCUUGCAUCCUUUGUGAAUAUAACAGGCUGCACAAGAAAGAUGUUCGCGUCCAGCACCUCGGAUUCUGCACAUGUGCUCAAAAGACCAGCCAGGAGCAGGUAUUGAGUUAAAAUGUGAUGAUUAUCCGAAAAUCCCAGACUGUCCAUCACGCUACAUUCCCCUCUGUGGAACAAAUGGCAAGGAUUAUCUAAACCCCUGCUAUUUGUGUCGCCACAACAAGAGAACCGGAGAGAAUGUUGCAAUCUUACAUGAAGGAUUCUGUACCUGUCACGACAUGAAACUCAGUUAAACUUGAGUUCCAGCUCAAAUGGAAAGACAAUAUUACUGAAUCUGUGUGUGCGUUGGAUUACAGUGCCAGUAAAAAGACCAACCCAA
Non-coding RNA from Chiloscyllium plagiosum (whitespotted bambooshark), 733 nucleotides. The record is from RefSeq and is a predicted model, not a curated record. Lineage: Eukaryota; Metazoa; Chordata; Chondrichthyes; Orectolobiformes; Hemiscylliidae.